UACAUUAAGUUUUAUCUUGUUAGUUCUUUCUUUAAGAUGAAGAGUUCUCUUCUGGGUAAUGUAUUAG
RNAcentral lists this transfer RNA (67 nucleotides) under Boraria stricta. RNAcentral describes it as "tRNA-Val". The record is from RNAcentral. Lineage: Eukaryota; Metazoa; Arthropoda; Diplopoda; Polydesmida; Xystodesmidae.